AGCGCAUACGGUGGAUGCCUUGGCAGUCAGAGGCGAUGAAAGACGUGGUAGCCUGCGAAAAGCUUCGGGGAGUCGGCAAACAGACUUUGAUCCGGAGAUGUCUGAAUGGGGGAACCCAGCCAUCAUAAGAUGGUUAUCUUGUACUGAAUACAUAGGUGCAAGAGGCGAACCAGGGGAACUGAAACAUCUAAGUACCCUGAGGAAAAGAAAUCAACCGAGAUUCCCUUAGUAGUGGCGAGCGAACGGGGACUAGCCCUUAAGUGGCUUUGAGAUUAGCGGAACGCUCUGGAAAGUGCGGCCAUAGUGGGUGAUAGCCCUGUACGCGAAAAUCUCUUGGUCAUGAAAUCGAGUAGGACGGAGCACGAGAAACUUUGUCUGAAUAUGGGGGGACCAUCCUCCAAGGCUAAAUACUACUGACUGACCGAUAGUGAACUAGUACCGUGAGGGAAAGGCGAAAAGAACCCCGGAGAGGGGAGUGAAAUAGAUCCUGAAACCGUAUGCGUACAAGCAGUGGGAGCCCACUUUGUUGGGUGACUGCGUACCUUUUGUAUAAUGGGUCAGCGACUUAUUUUCAGUGGCGAGCUUAACCGAAUAGGGGAGGCGUAGCGAAAGCGAGUCUUAAUAGGGCGUCUAGUCGCUGGGAAUAGACCCGAAACCGGGCGAUCUAUCCAUGGGCAGGUUGAAGGUUAGGUAACACUGACUGGAGGACCGAACCGACUACCGUUGAAAAGUUAGCGGAUGACCUGUGGAUCGGAGUGAAAGGCUAAUCAAGCUCGGAGAUAGCUGGUUCUCCUCGAAAGCUAUUUAGGUAGCGCCUCAUGUAUCACUGUAGGGGGUAGAGCACUGUUUCGGCUAGGGGGUCAUCCCGACUUACCAAACCGAUGCAAACUCCGAAUACCUACAAGUGCCGAGCAUGGGAGACACACGGCGGGUGCUAACGUCCGUCGUGAAAAGGGAAACAACCCAGACCGUCAGCUAAGGUCCCAAAGUUAUGGUUAAGUGGGAAACGAUGUGGGAAGGCUUAGACAGCUAGGAGGUUGGCUUAGAAGCAGCCACCCUUUAAAGAAAGCGUAAUAGCUCACUAGUCGAGUCGGCCUGCGCGGAAGAUGUAACGGGGCUCAAACCAUACACCGAAGCUACGGGUAUCACGUAAGUGAUGCGGUAGAGGAGCGUUCUGUAAGCCUGUGAAGGUGAGUUGAGAAGCUUGCUGGAGGUAUCAGAAGUGCGAAUGCUGACAUGAGUAACGACAAUGGGUGUGAAAAACACCCACGCCGAAAGACCAAGGUUUCCUGCGCAACGUUAAUCGACGCAGGGUUAGUCGGUCCCUAAGGCGAGGCUGAAAAGCGUAGUCGAUGGAAAACAGGUUAAUAUUCCUGUACUUCUGGUUAUUGCGAUGGAGGGACGGAGAAGGCUAGGCCAGCUUGGCGUUGGUUGUCCAAGUUUAAGGUGGUAGGCUGAGAUCUUAGGUAAAUCCGGGAUCUUAAGGCCGAGAGCUGAUGACGAGUUACCCUUUGGGUGACGAAGUGGUUGAUGCCAUGCUUCCAAGAAAAGCUUCUAAGCUUCAGGUAACCAGGAACCGUACCCCAAACCGACACAGGUGGUUGGGUAGAGAAUACCAAGGCGCUUGAGAGAACUCGGGUGAAGGAACUAGGCAAAAUGGCACCGUAACUUCGGGAGAAGGUGCGCCGGUGAGGGUGAAGGACUUGCUCCGUAAGCUCAUGCCGGUCGAAGAUACCAGGCCGCUGCGACUGUUUAUUAAAAACACAGCACUCUGCAAACACGAAAGUGGACGUAUAGGGUGUGACGCCUGCCCGGUGCCGGAAGGUUAAUUGAUGGGGUUAGCUAACGCGAAGCUCUUGAUCGAAGCCCCGGUAAACGGCGGCCGUAACUAUAACGGUCCUAAGGUAGCGAAAUUCCUUGUCGGGUAAGUUCCGACCUGCACGAAUGGCGUAACGAUGGCGGCGCUGUCUCCACCCGAGACUCAGUGAAAUUGAAAUCGCUGUGAAGAUGCAGUGUAUCCGCGGCUAGACGGAAAGACCCCGUGAACCUUUACUAUAGCUUUGCACUGGACUUUGAAUUUGCUUGUGUAGGAUAGGUGGGAGGCUUUGAAGCGUGGACGCCAGUUCGCGUGGAGCCAUCCUUGAAAUACCACCCUGGCAACUUUGAGGUUCUAACUCAGGUCCGUUAUCCGGAUCGAGGACAGUGUAUGGUGGGUAGUUUGACUGGGGCGGUCUCCUCCUAAAGAGUAACGGAGGAGUACGAAGGUGCGCUCAGACCGGUCGGAAAUCGGUCGUAGAGUAUAAAGGCAAAAGCGCGCUUGACUGCGAGACAGACACGUCGAGCAGGUACGAAAGUAGGUCUUAGUGAUCCGGUGGUUCUGUAUGGAAGGGCCAUCGCUCAACGGAUAAAAGGUACUCCGGGGAUAACAGGCUGAUACCGCCCAAGAGUUCAUAUCGACGGCGGUGUUUGGCACCUCGAUGUCGGCUCAUCACAUCCUGGGGCUGAAGCCGGUCCCAAGGGUAUGGCUGUUCGCCAUUUAAAGUGGUACGCGAGCUGGGUUUAGAACGUCGUGAGACAGUUCGGUCCCUAUCU
This 2592-nucleotide ribosomal RNA is filed under the name Pseudomonas fluorescens R124. RNAcentral describes it as "bacterial LSU rRNA". It matches the Rfam family "Bacterial large subunit ribosomal RNA", at positions 14 to 2643 of the family's 2925-position model. Lineage: Bacteria; Pseudomonadati; Pseudomonadota; Gammaproteobacteria; Pseudomonadales; Pseudomonadaceae. The record is from RNAcentral.